CAGGAUGUCGAGGCUCCUAUUCGACCCAACGUACGGGUUCCCAGUCCCCUGGCCCGGCCAGAGAAGAACGGUGAAGCAAGUUAUGGCUGCCAGAAGAGACGUGAGUGAUCGAGCUCCUUUUGCCCUCUUGACCAAGCACGACUCGACUCGAUGACUUCCUGGCUAUUCUCGUGUUUCCUUCGUUUGACCAGGCCGGGUGCAUCACGGGUGCAACGCACAAAUCGCAAUGCAGGAUCGCGAGAAUGUCUGAUUUCCUGCCCGUGGAUGGCUGAAUCAGAUGCCAGUUAGUUAUGUUUAGUUAUCUAACAAAUUCGAUCAAUGAUGAUAACUUGAUGUUCUGUUCCUUUCUUGUUGGCGAGUAAUGUAAAUUUUCUUUUUCUUUUUCUUUUUUUAUUGCACACUCCCUCACCAAAAUAAUAAUAAUAAUAAUAAUAAUAACAUCCCAAAACCAAAAAAGGCGUAAAAAUGGUAUUUAGAAAAGAUCCUUCCACGUUUGUUCCUGAUGUGGUCGCAAGCUGGCGAUUUGUGCCCGCCCGAUGCUUUGCUUUACACAGAUACUCAUGCCCUACAAAAGGAGAAGGAUGCGUGAUGUGUCCACCUCACCGCACAGAGUUUGAAAAGUACCAUCGGGUACCAGACGGAGUUAAGUUGGUAACCGCGGCGGGGUGCGAUUGGGUUCGUCGAUGGGUUGGAGAUGGGCGAGUGUGGAGAGUAGCUGCGGCGAUCCGAUGGUUAGUUAGUUCGACCACGCCAGG
This 755-nucleotide small RNA is filed under the name Histoplasma ohiense. RNAcentral describes it as "hypothetical lncRNA". Lineage: Eukaryota; Fungi; Ascomycota; Eurotiomycetes; Onygenales; Ajellomycetaceae. The record is from RNAcentral.